Molecule: ribosomal RNA, 433 nt
Filed under: uncultured bacterium
Lineage: Bacteria
Description: partial 16S ribosomal RNA
Rfam family: Bacterial small subunit ribosomal RNA
Source: RNAcentral
AACGAACGCUGGCGGCAGGCCUAACACAUGCAAGUCGAGCGAGAUCUUCGGGUCUAGCGGCGGACGGGUGAGUAACGCGUGGGAAUAUGCCUCUUGGUACGGAAUAGCCUCGGGAAACUGGGAGUAAUACCGUAUGUGCCCUUUGGGGGGAAGAUUUAUCGCCAAGAGAUUAGCCCGCGUUGGAUUAGGUAGUUGGUGGGGUAAUGGCCUACCAAGCCGACGAUCCAUAGCUGGUUUGAGAGGAUGAUCAGCCACACUGGGACUGAGACACGGCCCAGACUCCUACGGGAGGCAGCAGUGGGGAAUCUUAGACAAUGGGGGCAACCCUGAUCUAGCCAUGCCGCGUGAGUGAUGAAGGCCUUAGGGUUGUAAAGCUCUUUCAGCUGGGAAGAUAAUGACGGUACCAGCAGAAGAAGCCCCGGCUAACUCCGUG